GACAACUUGGCCGAGUGGUUAAGGCGACAGACUUGAAUUGCCCAUGUUCAUGAAAUCUGUUGGGUUCGCCCUCACAAGUUCGAAUCUUGUAGUUGUCG
Madurella mycetomatis is the source of this 98-nucleotide transfer RNA. It matches the Rfam family "tRNA". Rfam says of the family: Transfer RNA (tRNA) molecules are approximately 80 nucleotides in length. Their secondary structure includes four short double-helical elements and three loops (D, anti-codon, and T loops). NCBI's taxonomy places the organism in Eukaryota, Fungi, Ascomycota, Sordariomycetes, Sordariales. The record is from Rfam.